This 550-nucleotide long non-coding RNA is filed under the name Chrysolophus pictus (golden pheasant). RNAcentral describes it as "lncRNA (ENSCPIG00010008568.1)". Lineage: Eukaryota; Metazoa; Chordata; Aves; Galliformes; Phasianidae. The record is from RNAcentral.
CGCUGCCUCAGACGGUCACCGAGCAGCUGAGGAGAAAGCAGCCAGACGGACCCACCAUGUCUGACAAACCAGAUUUCGCAGAAAUCGAAACGUUUGAUAAGACCAAGCUGAAGAAGACAGAAACAAGAGAGAAAAAUCCAUUGCCCACCAAAGAAACUAUCGAACAAGAAAAGCAAAGUGAGAACGCAUCCUGAGCGGCAGCGAGAUGAUGUGACUGCUGCUUCUUCAGUGGGGUUUGGGCUUCUGUGCCGGUUUUGUUCUGUUUUGUUUCCCCUCCCUUCCACCUUCCCCUCAGUGCUCAUUAUCCAUUUCAUUUAGCAAACACUCCUUUCAUGUUCCCAGGAAGAAGUUUGUUUUGUAUUUGUUGCUCUGUAUAUUUAAAAUGGAAAUUCUAAGUUCUGUACCACACCCAUCACUUGCAAAAAAAAACAAAAAAAAAACAAGCAAACCACCAACUGCAUAAAAAUGUUUUCCUAAACCUCACAAUGAACAAGUUUCUUCCAUCCAGCUGUGUUUGAGACUUUACAAAUAGGAGUUGCUGUGUAAACCU